GGCGUUUACUGAAAGAGGCAACAUAGCCUGGAAUGUAAUGUUGGUAAGUGCUAUAAUUUCAGUGUGUUCUCCAAGAGUUUAUGUGUUGGAAAUUCUAUCCCCAAAUGCAUGUGUUAGUAAUAUUCGAAGAUGGGGCUUUGGGAAGUGAUUAGGGUCUGAUGAGGUCACGUGAAUGGUACCCAUGAUGGCAGUAGUAGAGAAGGGACCUGGGUACACUGCUUUCUCUCUCAGAAUGUGAUUCUCUCACUAAGCUGUGGUGCAGCAAGAAUGCCCUCAUCAGAGGCAGCCCUUUGAUAUUGAAUUUCUCAGAUUCUAGAACUGUGAUAGUUUUUAAAAUAAAUUACCCAGUCUGUGAUUUUCUGUUAUAGCAACUGAGAGCAGACAAAGACAGGAGGAUACUUGCUGUAUAAUACAUCAAUGUUAAGAGAGAAUUUAACAAAUAUUAUAGAUCAUGGCAGGACUUCUUGGUAUUUUCAUGUAAAUGAAGAGUAAAGAACAUUUGUACAGAAAGGAAUAAGUUGGGAGCUCUGGGUGGAGACAAUGACAGGAUGCAAAUAAGAGCUCCAAUAACUUUGCUGCUACUUGUUAUGUAAAUUAAUUUAAUUUUCACAACAACUAUUCAGUCUUGAUAUUGUUUUAUCUAUUUUACAGAUAAAGAAAUGGUGGCUCAAAGAUGUCAAUGGGUUGGUCAAAUUUACAUAGCAAGGGAAGGAGUGGGGAGUCAUUUCUAUCAAAUCUAAAUUUGCUUGUGUCCAAAGCUUGUAUUGUUCAACUAAUAUGAUAUAUGUACUCCCGGAAGGUGUGGAUAGAGUUGGAUAAAGCAGAUUUCUGGGAGCCUAGAGAAGUGAUUCCUCAAGUGUGGCCUUGGACAAGUAGCAUAAACACUGACAUCACCUGGGAACUUGUGAAAAAUGUAGGUUUGAGAGAUGGACGUUUCACUUAGCCAUUAAGACACUGGAAUGUCUGGAUGUGUGUUCCAGCUUCUUUCCCAAUUCUAGCUCUUGUGGGUAUUCGGAGAUUGAAACAGUGGUUAGGAAAUCUCUAUCUCUCUUUCUUCUCUGUUUUCACUUCCCUCCACUUGCUUUUCAAAGAAAUGAAAUUUUAAAAAAUACACAUUUGGGGGCCACUCAAUUCUAUUACUGAAUCAGAAACUCUGGGGGUUGGAAUCAGCAUCUGAUAACCAUACACCUAGAAAGAUAACUACUGACCUGAAGAAAAAGUGAUAGCAUCAAGUGACUGCUUAACACCAUACACAAGCAUCCCUGAAGUGGUCUAAAAAAUUAGAAGUCAUGGGCACUUAAUCAACCUGGAAUAAAAAAUGAUUUUGUAAUAAAUUCA
This 1338-nucleotide long non-coding RNA is filed under the name Oryctolagus cuniculus (rabbit). Its description in RNAcentral is "lncRNA (ENSOCUG00000031752.1)". The record is from RNAcentral. Lineage: Eukaryota; Metazoa; Chordata; Mammalia; Lagomorpha; Leporidae.